CAAUAGCGUAUAUUAAAGUUGUUGCGGUUAAAAAGCUCGUAGUUGGAUUUCUGUCGAGGACGACCGGUCCGCCCUCUGGGUGAGUAUCUGGCUCGGCCUGGGCAUCUUCUUGGAGAACGUAUCUGCACUUGACUGUGUGGUGCGGUAUCCAGGACUUUUACUUUGAGGAAAUUAGAGUGUUUCAAGCAGGCAUACGCCUUGAAUACAUUAGCAUGGAAUAAUAAGAUAGGACCUCGGUUCUAUUUUUGUUGGUUUCUAGAGCUGAGGUAAUGAUUAAUAGGGACAAGUUGGGGGCAUUCGUAUUACGGCGUCAGAGGUGAAAUUCUUGGAUUGCCGUACGACGAACUACUGCGAAAGCUAUUUGCCAAAGGAUUGUUUUCUAUUGAUCAAGAACGAAA
This 398-nucleotide ribosomal RNA is filed under the name uncultured eukaryote. RNAcentral describes it as "SSU rRNA". It matches the Rfam family "Eukaryotic small subunit ribosomal RNA", at positions 592 to 988 of the family's 1831-position model. The record is from RNAcentral.